GAUGAACGCUAGCUACAGGCUUAACACAUGCAAGUCGAGGGGAAACGACAUCGAAAGCUUGCUUUUGAUGGGCGUCGACCGGCGCACGGGUGAGUAACGCGUAUCCAACCUGCCCAUCGCUUGGGAAUAACCUUGCGAAAGUAAGACUAAUACCCAAUGAUAUCCCACGAAGGCAUCGGAAUGGGAUUAAAGAUUUAUCGGUGAUGGAUGGGGAUGCGUCUGAUUAGCUUGUUGGCGGGGUAACGGCCCACCAAGGCAACGAUCAGUAGGGGUUCUGAGAGGAAGGUCCCCCACAUUGGAACUGAGACACGGUCCAAACUCCUACGGGAGGCAGCAGUGAGGAAUAUUGGUCAAUGGGCGAGAGCCUGAACCAGCCAAGUAGCGUGCAGGAAGACGGCCCUAUGGGUUGUAAACUGCUUUUAUAAGGGAAUAAAGUGGGUCACGUGUGACUUUUUGCAUGUACCUUAUGAAUAGGGACCGGCUAAUUCCG
Molecule: ribosomal RNA, 490 nt
Filed under: uncultured bacterium
Lineage: Bacteria
Description: partial 16S ribosomal RNA
Rfam family: Bacterial small subunit ribosomal RNA
Source: RNAcentral